RNAcentral lists this ribosomal RNA (424 nucleotides) under uncultured bacterium. RNAcentral describes it as "partial 16S ribosomal RNA". It matches the Rfam family "Bacterial small subunit ribosomal RNA", at positions 360 to 776 of the family's 1533-position model. The record is from RNAcentral.
AAUUUUGGACAAUGGGGGAAACCCUGAUCCAGCCAUCCAGCGUGUAUUAUGAGGGACUUCGGGUUGUAAAGUAUUUUUGGCAGAGAAGAAAGGGUAUCUCCUAAUACGAGAUACUGCUGACGGUAUCUGCAGAAUAAGCACCCGCUAACUACGUGCCCGCAGCCGCGGUAAUACGUAGGGUGCAAGCGUUAAUUGGAAUUACUGGGCGUAAAGCGUGUGUAGGCGGUUCGGAAAGAAAGAUGUGAAAUCCCAGGGCACAACCUUGGAACUGCAUUUUUAACUGCCGAGCUAGAGUAUGUCAGAGGGGGGUAGAAUUCCACGUGUAGCAGUGAAAUGCGUAGAUAUGUGGAGGAAUACCGAUGGCGAAGGCAGCCCCCUGGGAUAAUACUGACGCUCAGACACGAAAGCGUGGGGAGCAAACAGG